ACGUUCUUAAUUUAAAAGGCAAAAUACUAGUUUCCAAAACUAAGAAAUGGGGGUUCGACUCCUUCAGAGCGUG
This 73-nucleotide transfer RNA is filed under the name Nitzschia sp. PL3-2. Its description in RNAcentral is "tRNA-Trp". It matches the Rfam family "tRNA". From Rfam's summary of the family: Transfer RNA (tRNA) molecules are approximately 80 nucleotides in length. The record is from RNAcentral. Lineage: Eukaryota; Bacillariophyta; Bacillariophyceae; Bacillariales; Bacillariaceae.